RNAcentral lists this ribosomal RNA (350 nucleotides) under uncultured bacterium. RNAcentral describes it as "bacterial SSU rRNA". It matches the Rfam family "Bacterial small subunit ribosomal RNA", at positions 355 to 722 of the family's 1533-position model. The record is from RNAcentral.
UGGGGAAUAUUGCGCAAUGGAGGAAACUCUGACGCAGCCAUGCCGCGUGAGUGAAGAAGGCCCUCGGGUUGUAAAACUCUUUCAACGGUGAAGAUGAUGACGGUAACCGUAGAAGAAGCACCGGCUAACUUCGUGCCAGCAGCCGCGGUAAUACGAAGGGUGCUAGCGUUGUUCGGAAUUACUGGGCGUAAAGGGCGCGUAGGCGGACAUGUCAGUCAGGGGUGAAAUCCCGGGGCUCAACCUCGGAACUGCCUUUGAUACUGCAUGUCUAGAAUAUAUGAGGGGAUAGUGGAAUACCAAGUGUAGAGGUGAAAUUCGUAGAUAUUUGGUGGAACACCAGUGGCGAAGGC